UGGCUGCUGGGAAAGAGGUGUCGUUGGGAUUUUUUUCUGAUAAUAACACUGGUCUCAACCCAGCUGACAUCCUCAUUUACAAUUGGGAGAAUGGCCAAGAUACUUGUUUUGACGUCACUGGAGUUUCACCUUUCUCGGGUGGCGGAAUUCACACAUUUACUUCCGGCCAUGCGAUUUCUGCAACAGUUGUUUGUAACGUAACAAAUAUCUAGAAAAGUGUACUUUUCAUGGGUAUCGCUUCAGCACCUUGGCAUUUUCAACUUUGGGAGAGCUUGGAGAAGACUUGAUUAUUCUGUUAAAGAGACUGAAGAACUUCUUAAAAAACUAUGGUAUUAGUAAUAAAGUAGGUGGUCCUGUUUUUCAUAGGAUAGGUUUGGCUAUUCAAAAGGGAAUUGGUGCACAUACUGUUGCCCGACUCCCACCCAUUCAUGUGUAAAUAACAUUAUUUGUUUUUCAAUAAAAUCUCGUGGCGGCAUCCUUUUUAUAAUAAUAAUAAUAAUAAUAAGGGUGUUGGUGCACAGAUUGUUUUUCUUUCUCUUCUUUUCGAUUGUUUGAAGAUUUAAUUGCUCGAAGAUUCAAUUAGUUGUUCCACCUCUCUAGUUCCAAUUAAGGUUUUGAAGACUUGAAUUCUCAUCCAUCGAUUGAGAUUAGGGUUCUUUUAGUUUUCUUUAUUAUUUUUUUCUUUUCUUCUCUUUUGUUUUGUUCUUCUCUUCUCUUUCGAGUUUCAAUAUACAAGUUAGAGCUUUUUCAGGGUGUGAUUCAUACAAAAGUAGUGAGUUUGUUAAAUCUAGGAAGUUUAAGUGUCGAUUUGGAUUGAGUUUGUUUUUGUUUGAUAGAGGUGUUUCAGUGAAAAUUAGGUUCAGGUUUUUCGAAAAGGUUGGCAGUUGUAUGAAAUUGAUGUUGAUUUAAUGGUGGGUUUUGUGUUUUGAUUUCAAGGGUGAGAUUUAAUUAAUCUAAUUCUCAAUCCUCAAGUGUAUUGGGAUAAUUGGGGUUUUUGAAGGUUAUGAUUUAAGCUUUUGUUGGGGCUGAGGCUUGUUAUUACCGUGGCUAAUUCAAAUUAAGUGAAUCAAUCUUCAAAAUACAGUUUUGCAGAAUUGAAAGUAUGGGAUUUUGUGGUUUUUUGUGGGAUUGAGGAACCAGAAUCAGGGGUGUGAAUUGUUUGAAUUUGGGGGACUCUGUAGUGGGGUUUUGUUGUUUGUUGUUGCAGCUGGUUUCUUCUGGGUGUGGUUGAACACUGUUUAAGUGUUUCUCUGUGUGUGUGAUUGGUUGUAGCAGGAGGUAUAUUCAAGAGUUGUGUGUGUGCAGAAGCAGUUACAUGGUGUUUUUGUUCACAAGGCCUUAUCCUUCUCUUCUUGGUUGUUUAAUUUGUGUUUCAAUGAAUGGUAUUUUAAGGGUUCAAUUGAAUUUUUUUAUCUAAUUUAAACUCUUAAUUUCUCAUUCCUUGAGUCCUAAUUGUCUUCUUGUUCUCUCAUUGUGUUUGAUUUACGAAUUCAAUUGAUAUGUUCGCAAUCUUGUUGAGUUUCAGAGGUUGAUUGCUAGUUUCUCUGAAUUACUAUGCCAAGGGUUACUAGGUCUAGUCAGACACAAUGCUUGCGUUCCAUCCCUCAAGGUUGUGUUAAUCAAACUUCUAAUGAGUUUCAUCAGUGCAGCAGUGAUGCAUUUGUAGAUUCACCUAUGGGCUCGUCUUCCCCUUCUCAGUUCGCAACCACUCAAUCCUUAUAUGUUUCACAACGAGAUAAGAUCCAUUGUCCGUAUAAGAACUUCGAUGGCUGCACUGAUGCUAAGAGUGCUAUCUAUAGACAUUUAAAAGAUAAACUCUUUCCUGAUGAAGUUAGCAGAGAGGUUUGUCGAGAACGAAUUAAGAAUAAUUUUAACUGCUUUGUUACUUGGGAAAGGGCUUUGAAUGAUAUGCAGGGUUGGUUAUUCAUUAAAUGCUUACGAAUACAUACAUGGAGAAUGACUUGCAGGUCACAGAUUCAUCCUUCAGAAGACAUUGCUGGUACCUUCAAUGGUUUAGGCGCAGAUUUCCUCAUUCAUGGAGCUGAGAAACCACAAGUUGAGUCCCCUGCCACAGUUGAUACUGCUGAGACUAAUACUCCUGUGGUGGACGAUGUUGUUUCUGGUCUCACGGUGGAGUUGCUUAACAGUAUGCUGCAGAAACAGAUUACAACUACUAUAAGUAUCCCACCACCUAGCAGGCUGCAUUUAUCUCGUGCCCUGAAGUCGACUUUGGAUUAUGUGCUUGCAAACCCUAAGAACCUUGCUGCUUGGAUACAAUUGUUAUUGCUGCCUACCUGCACCUUGAAUUUGUAUGAACCAAAAAUCUCAAUGGAAGAACGAUCGGGCAAUAGGAGAAAGUUGCAGAUGGAUGCAAUAAAUAGGGCUUUGCUGUGUUGGAAAGAGCCUUCUGGUUUCUUUACAUUGGCUCAACAAUUUCUUAGCCUAUCUAAGAAAACUCCUAGAUAACAACAACCUGGUAAGAAAAGGAAAAAUACUAAGUUGUCAGCUUGCAGGAGGAAACUAAGUAACGGUCACUAUACUGCAACUAUCCGUAUCCUUUCCUCUAAUGGUUUAGAUCCACCAACUUCGGACACGCUGUUUGAGCUUCAACAAAAACACAUAUUUGCUCGGCCUCCAAUUAUACCAGCAGAAGAUAUUUCAGCUCCUGCUUUAUCUGUUAAUGCAAAAGAUGUCCUUUUGGCCCUUAAGAGUUUUCCCAAGGGUACUUCCUGUGGGAGGGACGGACUUAGGGCUCAACACUUGUUGGAUGCUAUGAGUGGAGUUGGUGCUGCGGUUGCUGAUGAAUUUCUUAAAUCUAUCACUAGUGUGGUGAAUCUUUGGCUUUCCGGGAAAUUCCCUCCCAUUCUUGGUAACCUUGUAGCAAGUGCUCCCUUAACCCCACUGCUCAAACCUGAUGGAGGGUUGCGACCAUUGCUGUAGGGAAUAUUUGGAGGAGUCUGUGUUCAAAAUUAGCUUCCACCUCGGUUUGUAAAUCUACGAAUUCUUAUCUGGGAAAAUACCAAUAUGGUUUUGGUACCCCGUGCAGUGGUGAAGCUAUUCUGCACUCGGCUAAUAGAUUGUUGGAGCUACAAGGUGUUGAUUCUUCCAAGACCAUGUUGCUUAUAGAUUUUUCCAACGCCUUCAACCUUGUUGACAGGUCCAACAUCAUUAAAGAGGUGAGAGCUCAUUGUCCCAGUAUCUCUCAUUGGGUCGAGUUUUGCUACGCAAAACCAGCUAAGUUGUAUUACCUAAAGUCAGUUCGAUCUUCAGCCAAAGGCGUGCAGCAUGGAGACCCCCUCGAUCCCCUUCUUUUUGCAUUAGCUCUUCAUCCUCUUAUCGAAAAGAUUGCAGCUCAGUGUACUUUGGAUCUUCAUGCGUGGUACCUGGAUGAUGGUACCAUGGUUGGAGACACUAUGGAAGUAUCUAAAGCCUUGAAGAUUAUACAAGAAGAAGGCCCUAGUUAUGGUUUGCACCUGAAUAUUUCAAAGACCGAAAAUUUCUGGCCUUCUUAUGACCCAAGAAGAGAUAACAGUGACGUUUUUCCUCCCAAUAUUGGUAAGCCAGUGGAUGGAGUUAAACUGCUUGGCGGACCAGUCAGCUUGAGCAUGGAAUUUUGCAGCAACAUGGUAUUGUCGAGGGUAGACAAAGCAGUGCAAUUAAUGGGAAACAUUCAAGAACUGGAGGAUCCUCAAAGUGAGUUACUCCUUUUGCGUAACUGUACUGGGGUUGCCAGGAUGUAUUUUACCCUCCGUACUACAAGUCCUAAAGCUAUUCAGUCGGCUGCAGUUAUGUUUGAUAAACAUCUCAUGGAUUAUUUGCGUCGUUUGGUGGUUGGUGAUGGUGCUGGAUUUGGAUUGGUCCAACAAAGGCUGGCCACGCUUCCCAUUAAAGACGGUGGUUUGGGUGUGCUUACAAUGGCCGAUACAGAUCCCUGUCUUAGUUAUCAACACGCUCUAUAGGUUUUCACUGAAGUUUGUGAUCUUUCCUCUCCGGGUUUCAACAUCAGUAAUACUGCCCCCCGUUACAUGAAGUCUCUGGCAUUUAUUAAUUUUGAAGUUGUCAAAAAGAAGAUACCUUCUAGUCUCCCCUUAACAGCGCGUGAUUACACAUUACGGCGGUGCAACCGAGUAGAACAUGCUAUGGACUUUCUUAAAGCCAUUCCUAUAGCUGGGCUUAACCAAACUGUUGGUCCUAGAAAAUUCAGUUCUGUCUUGCAGUAUCAUCUAGGGAUACCUUUCUUCGAGGAGAAAAGCUUAUGCUCUUGCUGGAAAAGACCCAUGGAUGUCUGCGACGACCAUGCUAUUCACUGCGCCAGUGAGGUUGGGCAGAAAUUUUGCCAUGACUUGGUGAAAGAUGUCUUUGCUGACAUAUGUUAUAAAGGAGGUGUCGCUGCUAGGAAAGAAGUUUCUUUGGGUUUCUAGAAGGACGGUAAUGAUCUCAAGCCUGCGGAUAUUAUGGUUUACAAUUGGGACGGUAAGGAUGUAUGCAUGGAUGUUACGGGUGUCUCGCCUUUUACAAGUGCCCAGACUUGUAACUUUGUUCCUGGCCAUGCCAUUGGUGCUGCUAUUAGUCGCAAAAACAAGAAAUACUUGGACAUAUGCUCUUCACGUGGCUAUGGGUUUGGUGUGCUGGCUUUUUCCACCUUAGGUGAGCUCGGAGCGGAUACAAUUUCCUUUCUCAAAAGGCUGAGGAAUUGCGUGGCUAGACAUGAUGCCAAUUUCAAGCUAGGCAAUUCUCUUUUCCUUAGGCUAGGGAUUGUUAUUCAAAAAAGUAUUGGCGCCCAGCUUGUUGCUAGGAUACCCACCAACUCUUUGUAAAUUUCCCUUGUAUGCUUUGACGUAAUGGGAGUCUCGCCAUUCACCACUGCUAGAACCCGUAAUUUUACCCCGGGCCAUGCAAUCAAUGCCGUUGUGAGCCGCAAAUGUAACAAAUAUUUAGAUACAUGUGCUGUUAUGGGCUAUGGGUUCAAAUCUCUAGACUUUUCUACCCUAGAAGAGUUGGGAGAAGACUUGGUUUUUCUUCUCAAGAGAUUAAGAAACUGCCUAGUUAGCAAUGACGCUAAUUUUAAAUUUGGUAAUUCUUUAUUUCAUAGACUAGG
RNA transcript from Papaver somniferum (opium poppy), 5098 nucleotides. RefSeq lists it as uncharacterized. The transcript is spliced from 2 exons. NCBI's taxonomy places the organism in Eukaryota, Viridiplantae, Streptophyta, Magnoliopsida, Ranunculales, Papaveraceae. The record is from RefSeq and is a predicted model, not a curated record.